GCUAAACGCGAAGAACCUUACCCACCUUUGACAUGUACGGAAUCCUUUAGAGAUGAAGGAGUGCUCGAAAGAGAGCCGUAACACAGGUGCUGCAUGGCUGUCGUCAGCUCGUGUCGUGAGAUGUUGGGUUAAGUCCCGCAACGAGCGCAACCCUUGCCAUUAGUUGCUACAUUUAGUUGAGCACUCUAAUGGGACUGCCGGUGACAAACCGGAGGAAGGUGGGGAUGACGUCAAGUCCUCAUGGCCCUUAUAGGUGGGGCUACACACGUCAUACAAUGGCUGGUACAAAGGGUUGCCAACCCGCGAGGGGGAGCUAAUCCCAUAAAGCCAGUCGUAGUCCGGAUCGCAGUCUGCAACUCGACUGCGUGAAGUCGGAAUCGCUAGUAAUCGUGGAUCAGAAUGUCACGGUGAAUACGUUCCCGGGUCUUGUACACACCG
This 438-nucleotide ribosomal RNA is filed under the name uncultured bacterium. RNAcentral describes it as "bacterial SSU rRNA". It matches the Rfam family "Bacterial small subunit ribosomal RNA", at positions 954 to 1392 of the family's 1533-position model. The record is from RNAcentral.